UUUAACUGAAGAGUUUGAUCAUGGCUCAGAUUGAACGCUGGCGGCAGGCUUAACACAUGCAAGUCG
Molecule: ribosomal RNA, 66 nt
Filed under: Acinetobacter baumannii
Lineage: Bacteria; Pseudomonadati; Pseudomonadota; Gammaproteobacteria; Moraxellales; Moraxellaceae
Also listed under: 1 other name
Description: partial 16S ribosomal RNA
Rfam family: Bacterial small subunit ribosomal RNA
Source: RNAcentral